CCUUCCUCAGUCUCUUGCCUCUUCGGAUGUGACUUGACUUGCCAGUGUGGAGGAUCAAAGUGGUGGACACACCGAUCGAGCGAUCGAUCGAUCCAUAGAUCGGUCCAGCGAUUGAUCGACCUCCCUCCCCUGUAUGUUACGAUAUCAUAGUGCACGUCAUCGCCCCGCGAUAGCCCGAGCCCGGUUGCAUUUUGUGGUGGCUGUGGCGUUUCUUGAGUCAAGCGUUGCGGUGGAGUUUAACAUAAAAGAGUUUUUUUAAUGCUCACGCUGUGUACGCCGGUAUUUCCCUUUUGUUACUUCCUUUAGCCAGCCAUUUGGUCGCGGUGCAUCGCCCGCUCUUUCUUCUCUUGCUCAUCUCUACAUUUCCCUCGCUUCUCUUGGAACCCUGAAUCCUGUUCCGCUCUGCCACUGUGGCGCAAUCAUCCUCAUUACCCCGCCACUGAACCGUAGUUGGUAGCGCUCUGUUUAACUCCAAGCUGAAUCGACAUCCCUUGCCUCUCGAUAUAGUACCCUGCAUAUACCUGUAUCAGGCAUAUCUUGCACCACAUGCACACUGAAGGUGAAGCGAAGCGACUGAAGUCUUAGGCACAUCCUUCCUCUUUGUCGAGAGGAUUGGUUAGAUGCUUCAGCGGCAAGCGGGUGAGGUUAUCAUCAUCGGGGAUUUGAAAGUGACUGGGUUUGGGAUUGGCAAGUACAUUUGGGACAGGGUUCGGGGUCUGUUUGUCCUCCGCAACUCCAGAAGUCAGAAUUAUAGUCUGUUAGGAGCUCGUGGAGAACCUGAGUAGUAGAGGAUUCUGAUGGAAAUUGGAUUUGCAAUCAGAAAGCAUUCCUAGCGGGGUCAAGAGAUUCAGCCAGACUUCCGGUCCGGAAGAGAAGCAUCCUAGUUGUUCAAGGACUCAUCCGCCAUUAUCAUCGCCACCAUCACCCCCACUUUCUCUCUAUCUUCUCGAUCUGGUCUGUGUCGCUUGUUGAGUUUCGUCAGCUGCGACAUCGUUGUGAAACGUGGAACACUGUGCACGUCUGUGCUGUCUACGAGAGCAUAUAUUGGCGCAACCUUGUGAUAUACCGGAGGAUUCGCGACCAAAGUGAGACUUAGGGAAGGAGAUUCCCAGUGUGGACAGUAAAAUAACCUUCUUCAUUCGGCAAACCUCCAUUGCUUUCGUUCACCAUUCCUUUCACCUACCUAACCGGUCAAAGAACUGAACAAGUGCCGGUAUCUCGACGAUACCCGUCCAUAAUUCUGGAACAACCUGGUUAUCAUUAUCUAUCGAAUUAGGGGUGAAUUUUCACUGAGUGGUGGCAUAUGAGACUUUGGUCGCCGCGCAUCGGCGAGUUUGUUUCUGAAAAUCCAACUCAAUUGCUUGUGAAAAAACUUGAAAAAUUCACCGUGUCUGCGGCACCUGGCUGCAACCUUUGCCUACCGGGUUUCGGCUCUCUGGUGGCUACGAGAGCAGGCUGCCCUCCUCUCGUUGGGAGCUCUGUCAUAUAGGGGUUCUAGUCCUGCCGCCUUCGUUCGGGGUAGCCGUCGAGCCUAUGCACAGGUAGACCACUUUCUGCAGUGACCUGACUUCGAACAUCAUGCCAGCGGGCUGCAGGUGCAGGGGGUAAACACAUGAUAGCUGGGGAUAAAUCUUUUUCAAUUUCUACUCUUCGGAGGCAUCCCUUUUAGACAUACUCGUUUGUGAUACUUCGGAGUCGAGCUAUGCGGCUGUGAAGAAUCUACACUUAGGAAAGGUUAGGAUGAGCGAAAGGAACAGCCCUCAGGUGUUGGCUCUUACAAACACCGAGCCCAGCGAAGCCACUAGCCCUAGUAGCAGUGAUGGUGAAUGAAAUGCGCCGAUAACCAAGUUCUUCGAGUUCGUACCGGAGAAGACAUGCUUGAAUUGAAUGGCAUGCUCUUUAUAAGAGGCAAGUGCCGUUACUAGAGUAUAUGGGGAGACAGCUUAAUUUGAGAUCCGAGGUCUGAGGUGAUGGAGAAUAUGGCAAGAAAGUUUAUUAGGUAGUGCAUGACUAUUUCGGCAUUUUUGCAACAAGAUAACCUUAACUCUGAUUGCGAGGAGCAGGGCAGUGCGCCGCAGAAAUGGCAUCCGAUCUGCCCUUACUAUACUCACCGACUCACCCUACGACAAUCACGCGUCAUAGCGACGCGUUUCUUACAAAUUUGUAUCAUAAAAAUGAGCGACUUGGAGAAAUGGUUCUUUCUCCACAAUCUCUUGAUGAUUUUUGGUCACAAGUGUUCGGAAAUGAACUUCGUAUUUCCUCUUUUUCCACUUCAAGUGAAAGAUGCUUGCCGCUACUGGUACUUCACACCAUUUCUCCUGGGGUGGCGUUCAAGCUGGCCCCCUCCGAUAACCAGCAAGCUAUGGAUCUUUCUGCACUCCAAGCUUUACACGUUUCCUGUCUCCACGAAAACAAGACGGCGGUAGCUCCGAUCAGCGGCGGUCUUCAAUUGCACUUAGUAGCCAUGCUUCCAUCACAAAUACAAAUCCCAGAAGGCAGAAAAGAUGCCUGUUUUUGGGGAUUUGUUGUAGUCCAAGGGAUGUAUGAUUCCUGUCUUGCCAUGCUUAAUCUACGCUGCUUGGCCAUGGUCCUUGACCUCGACGAAACCCUCAUCGUAGCUAACACCUUAAAGACUUUUGAUGAUCGGAUUGACGCUUUGAAUCGUCGGUUGGUCAAUCGGGAGGAUCCUGUACUGGCUGGGACACUCAAACGAUUUCAGGAAGAUAAGGCUAUUUUAGAGCAGUACAUUAAGACCGAUCAAGUGUAUGACAAUGGAAAACUGUACAAAGCCCAGUCAGAGGUCGUUCCACCUGUUGCAGAUGGGGCGAUUCCACUCAUUCGACCUAUUGUUCGGCUGCCAGAGCGAAAUGUUAUCCUCACACGGAUCAAUCCAGCGGUGAGGGACACAAGCGUGCUGGUGAGAUUGAGACCAAAUUGGGAUGAAUUGAAGGUCUAUUUGUUGGCAAAAGGCCGUAAGCGAUUUGAAGCCUUCAUUUGUACUAUGUCAGAGCGGGAUUAUGCCCUGGAAAUGUGGCGGUUAUUGGAUCCUGAUGCUCGUCUAAUAAAUCCACGAGAGUUGAAUGAGCGGGUCACCUGUGUGAAGUCUGACGCUAAGAAAGCCUUGAAGGAUUGUUUUCCUCGUCACUGCUGUCAUCCGAAGAUGGCAAUGGUGAUCGACGAUCGGUUGCCUGUUUGGGAAAAAGUGGAUCAACCUCGCGUGCAUGAAGUGCAAGCAUUCAUGCCUUACACAGAUCCAAAAGGAGAGACUAUGAAGGAAUUGCCCCCUCUGUGUAUCGCUAGAAACAUAGCCUGUAACGUCCGAGGGUACUUUUUCAAGGAGUUGGAUGAAACUUUAACGCAGCAGAUGCUGGAGGUCAAGUUCGAUACAGAAGUCCACACUUUGCCUAAGGCUCCCGAUGUGAGCAGUUAUAUAAUCCCUGAGGUAAUGCAGGAGGAUGUAGUUCCAGGUUUUACAACGAAUGGUGUUAAGGACUUUAGUGAUGGAAUGGCUAAUAUGGAAGUCGAGAUGAACUUGAAAACACCGGGCGCUAAUGGGCUAAGCCACUCUCGAAGCUUCUCUAUGGAUGAUGACUUAAUGUUGGCACUCAAGCAACCAAUACAACAACCUUUACAGCAGCAACAACAACAACAUCAACAACCUCAUCUUCUGGUUCCAGAUCCCAUUGGCCGACUACGCCCGCAGUUUGCAGGGGACGUUUCCAAAGUGGAUCCCUCAAUGUAUCUUCCAGGUGAUAGUAUUGUGUAUCCAUCAAGUACUGAGAACAGUCUUUAUCCUCCGGGCAUUCCUAGAAGACAUACAGAUCCUGUUCAAACCAGGUUACUAGAAGGUACUAUUCAAGGUUCCCCUGGCAGAGAAGAAGGAGAGGUUCCAGAAGCUGAUAUUGAUCCAGAUACUCGUAGACGGUUACUCAUACUACAGCAUGGCAUGGACGCAAGCAAGCCGGUUACACCUCUCGCACCAUUGCAGGUACAGAUUCCUCCUGUUGUGCCUCCUGGAGGAGGGUGGCUUGGUAUUGAAGAGGAGAUGAGCCCUCGCCGACCAAGUAGGAGAUCACCGGAGCUGGUCUUAGAACCAGAAUCUCCUUCAUUUGAUCGUUCUGGACCUCCCGGGUUUGAAAAUCCAUAUAUUCGUGAACAACAGUUGAUUAGAGAAGCAGCAAGAAGACAACGCGAUCAGGAGGAGAGCUUCUUCAAAGAGAGUAGAUCGCAACUGGAUAAUUCUGCUUUUUCAGAUGAGGAUAGUGCAGCAAAUAGCUUCACACGAGGGAUGUCUAGGGAGCCAUUUAAUGCACCUCGAACAGUGCCAUUUCCUGCCGUUAAUGCUAUCAGCGCGUUACAUGAGAUAGGGCAAAAAGUUAAACGAACUGUACAAUAUCGCACAGAUUUGAGGAGUUCCACACAUCUUGGAGUUACUGUCGAGGUCAUGUUUGGAGGUGAAAAAGUGGGAGAGGGCGUAGGUAGGACCCGAAAAGAAGCCAAAUAUAAUGCUGCAGAGUCGGCUCUACUAUAUUUAGCCACCAAGGCCACUGGAGGGUCAACUCCAGUACCUUCCACAGCUACUUUGCCAGAGCCAGCUAAAGAGGUCCGAAUGUCACGUGGUGGUCCUAGAGAUCCCCGUUUGUCGGCUGGUCUUGCACCUCUGCCUCGGGAUGAUGAUAGUCCAGUAGCGAGUACUUCAGGACAUGUUCCUCUGGGCGGUUAUCAGUCUAAUGAGGAGCCAGUGCCUUAUAAUCAUGUUGCAGUUCUUAAGGAAUUGUGUACGAGGGAGGCAAUUAAUAUUCAAUUCAAAGCGCUUCCAUCAAAUGGAGUUGGGCAGCGACAAGCAUUUCGUUGUCAGGUAGAAGUUGGCGGACGAAUGUUGGGUAGAGGUAGUGGACCUACUUGGGAUGAAGCCAAGCAAGAAGCAGCAAAAGAAGCCUAUAUACAGGUGGAAAUGUCACUACGACCGCAUAAGCGAGGAAAUGGACCAAGGUCACCAGGGAGCAACAAGCGAAUGCGAACGGAUCCAAUGAAAGACCGUGGAGUGCCCGCUAGUCUAUCUCCUGUACGUGGAGGUAGGUCGAGGCUGUCCCCUAGAAGACAUGCCCGAAAUCUUCCACCGAUGCCGUGAGCCAAAAUAUCUUGAUGGAUUGACAUGCUUUUUGAGUGCUAUUUGCGCAACCCCUGGAUCAAAUAGGGAAGAAGAGACUUUGGAGAACGCGGUGCUGGAGUGGUAAACCUGUGUAGACAGGUUCAACUUUGAAUAUAGAAUAGUUCUUGUUGCUCUUUCCACUCAUCUAGACUAGUUCUUCCAUGUCUAUUGCUGAGAACCAGCACUACUGAUGCCCGAUUCUGGGCCAGGAAGUAGAUCUAGCAAUUUUGGGGUCAUAUGCCAGGUGCUCUUAUGCCGAUCUGGCCUGCAGUGCAGUGUGUACAUUGUAGUAGCAAGUGGUGGAUGUUCUAAGCAGAAGUGCUCGAGGCUGGGACCUGUCUUCAACGGCUGUUAGCUUCACUCUCCUGGUGUCGAAACCUGCCGUAGGAAGCAAACAGCGUUGAUUAUUGCCAUCCAUGAGAGAUGUUGCAAAAACUUCCACACCGGCACCGCUUAGGACGUCUCCGCCUUUAAAGGCGGGCACCACACCACGUGUUGGUUUCAACACGUCUAAAAGCCAGGACUGGAAAAAAACUGAACUCCCAACGUUCCGAAGAAGGCCAAGAGAAGCUCUCACUUAUUCCGAAUCGAGAUCAGAUCCGACCUGAAAUGUGGUCUAUCGGGGAGGCACCGCGGUGUAGUGUCUCUUCCCAAGUGAAGGGUCACUUGAGUAGCGAAGGUGAUCACAAAAACUGCUUCGUUGCUCUGUGACAACACCAAGGAACAGUGAAAAAGCACAGGCAUUGCAAGAGGACAAGCAAUAUUCAUCCUUGCCUAUAUAUAUAUAUAUAUAUAUAUAUAUGUAUCUACUUAACAAGAUGAAGAAAUGCAGUGUUGUUCA
This is a non-coding RNA of Physcomitrium patens, 5993 nucleotides long. The record is from RefSeq and is a predicted model, not a curated record. Lineage: Eukaryota; Viridiplantae; Streptophyta; Bryopsida; Funariales; Funariaceae.